RNAcentral lists this ribosomal RNA (433 nucleotides) under uncultured bacterium. RNAcentral's name for it is "partial 16S ribosomal RNA". It matches the Rfam family "Bacterial small subunit ribosomal RNA", at positions 29 to 507 of the family's 1533-position model. The record is from RNAcentral.
AACGAACGCUGGCGGCAUGCCUAACACAUGCAAGUCGAACGAGACCUUCGGGUCUAGUGGCGCACGGGUGCGUAACGCGUGGGAACCUGCCCUUAGGCUCGGAAUAACUCCCCGAAGGGGGUGCUAAUACCGGAUAAUGUAUUCGGACAAAAGAUUUAUCGCCUUUGGAUGGGCCCGCGUUGGAUUAGCUAGUUGGUAGGGUAAAAGCCUACCAAGGCGACGAUCCAUAGCUGGUCUGAGAGGAUGAGCAGCCACACUGGGACUGAGACACGGCCCAGACUCCUACGGGAGGCAGCAGUGGGGAAUAUUGGACAAUGGGCGAAAGCCUGAUCCAGCAAUGCCGCGUGAGUGAUGAAGUCCUUAGGGUUGUAAAGCUCUUUUACCCGGGAUGAUAAUGACAGUACCGGGAGAAUAAGCUCCGGCUAACUCCGUG